Molecule: ribosomal RNA, 467 nt
Filed under: uncultured bacterium
Lineage: Bacteria
Description: partial 16S ribosomal RNA
Rfam family: Bacterial small subunit ribosomal RNA
Source: RNAcentral
GACGAACGCUGGCGGCGUGCUUAACACAUGCAAGUCGAACGGAAAGGCCCUGCUUUUGUGGGGUGCUCGAGUGGCGAACGGGUGAGUAACACGUGAGUAACCUGCCCUUGACUUUGGGAUAACUUCAGGAAACUGGGGCUAAUACCGGAUAGGAGCUCCUGCUGCAUGGUGGGGGUUGGAAAGUUUCGGCGGUUGGGGAUGGACUCGCGGCUUAUCAGCUUGUUGGUGGGGUAGUGGCUUACCAAGGCUUUGACGGGUAGCCGGCCUGAGAGGGUGACCGGCCACAUUGGGACUGAGAUACGGCCCAGACUCCUACGGGAGGCAGAGGUGGGGAAUAUUGCACAAUGGGCGAAGGCCUGAUGCAGCAACGCCGCGUGCGGGAUAACGGCCUUCGGGUGGUAACCGGUUUUCGCCUGUAACGAAGCGUGAGUGACGGUAAUGGGUAAAGAAGCACCGGCUAACUACGU